Molecule: ribosomal RNA, 206 nt
Filed under: Clostridium muellerianum
Lineage: Bacteria; Bacillati; Bacillota; Clostridia; Eubacteriales; Clostridiaceae
Description: Clostridium sp. P21 partial 16S ribosomal RNA
Rfam family: Bacterial small subunit ribosomal RNA
Source: RNAcentral
UUUAAAUUGAGAGUUUGAUCCUGGCUCAGGACGAACGCUGGCGGCGUGCUUAACACAUGCAAGUCGAGCGAUGAAAUCUCUUCGGGGAUGGAUUAGCGGCGGACGGGUGAGUAACACGUGGGCAACCUGCCUCAAAGUGGGGGAUAGCCUCCCGAAAGGGAGAUUAAUACCGCAUAAUAUUAGUUUUUCACAUGAAAGAUUAAUUA